Molecule: long non-coding RNA, 11758 nt
Organism: Topomyia yanbarensis
Lineage: Eukaryota; Metazoa; Arthropoda; Insecta; Diptera; Culicidae
Exons: 2
Source: RefSeq, a predicted model, not a curated record
CCAAAGAAUUUUUUUUUUAUUUUCAUUUAAAUGACCAAACAAAAACUUGCUUCACAGCUUUAGAGGGAUUAAUCACCUAACUAAUACUUUUUAAAUGCAAAAAAUAUAAAUAAACUUUGCUGAAGACACUAUAGCUAAAAAAUGUUUUUCGUGGUUCAAAGAACUUCUUUCACCUUUUUGCCAUUUUGGAAACACUGUGCACUGGUGGAUUCUCCUGUGAAUUGAAAAUGUCCAAAACUAUCGAUUUUCAACUGCCAACAACCUGCCCUUCAAUAUAAAAAGUUCGCGAAAAGUUGAAAAAUUUUCUAUUUUUACGCACCGACGGUACAUGUCCAAAACUAUUAAUAACAUCUUCAGUAUAAUAAACUUUCCCUAAAAGUUGAAAAAAAUCCAUUUUGACACAUCAUCGAACCACUUGUGUAUUGAAAAUGUCCAAAACUAUUGAUUGUUAACUGCUAAUAACUUUCCCUUCAAUAUAAAACACUCCCGAAAAGUUGAAAAAAAGAUUCCAUUUUGACACAUCGUCGAACCCCCCUGUACAUAGAAAAUGUUCAAUACUAUUGAUUUUCAACUGUCAACAACAUGUCCUUUAAUAAUUAUUUAUUUUCAAACAAUUGAAAGCUAACCGUAUCAACUUCAACUCCAAUUAACGGGAAAGUAACGCAAAAUGUAUCGCGAUAACCACCGAUGAAUUAUCGACGAUGACGAUGAAUCCGACGAUACAUUAUCGUUAACGGAGUUUCCGAUGACGUUGACGGGUGGUUAACGUUAUCGACGAUGACGAUUAAUUAUCGAUUAACAACCCUGAUUUGGACUCACUGGAAGUUAAACUCACUCCACAGUUAAAAGGCAGUAGAAGGGCGUUUGCGCGUGGAAUGUCAGCAUUAGAGAGUUCAGGCGAAUGUCCUAUAAAAUAAUAUUUUCAAGCCUUAACCAACCAGGUUUCUUCGCAUUAACCCUGCAAUUGUCACGUAUGAUAAUAACCGACAACAAAUGUAGUACCAGGAGAUUACUUUUAACGAAGCAUUUCACUUGUAGAGCAGUGAAAUUCGCAAACAAAAUAAGUAAAAUGAAAAUCCCGUUUCACGUUGCGCAGAUUGCCCCCAGUAUCAAACCAUCAACAGAAACUUAUAUCAGUAUUCAACAAACCAACAUAAUCUCCUUCAAAUUGUCAAUCGCAGCCACACUACUAAUACACUAGAAGAAAACUAAUAAAAGACCACACUCCUUCGCAGUGCACUCUGGACUGGAGCGAGUGCCGCGGUGAAUUUAUUUGAGAAUGCCAUACACGCCACCGAAAAACUACCUAAAAUUGAGUACUUUUGGCUCAAUCUCGUGGUAUCGUGCAGGAAGGUAAAAUUAGGUAAACCGUGUUGAAGACAGUUUCCAUUUAACUACGGCAAAAAUCUUAACUCAACCUUGAGUUCAAUUUGCUUAAAUUUAAGUUGAAUUUACCUAAUUUUGAGUCCACCCCAAACAACUUAAAAGUACAUUACUGCACGGACGACCUCGACUGAGUCGAAUCUCUCAUUUUGUUUUUGAUAACACUAAUAAGUGCAAAAGCGACGCACAAUUCAAAAGUACCUAAAUUGAGGUUAAAAGAAUUUAUUCUGUGGGUUGUUUUAUUUUUGCGUGUACAUAACUGAAAGAGAAAGUGUGCGCGGUCUCUCGCACCCAACCAACCCAUCGCCUUAAAAUUCGUUUAUUUAGCUCGAAAAAAAGAGCGUUCUGUUUUUUUCUGUAGUCUGUGAUCAUUGUAUGCAUAAAACUGGCGCGCCUGUACAUCAUUGAAAUGAUGCCUGACAGCAGUCAUGGAAUAUAUUGCUUCGAGUUGACGGAACGUAGCAACUACUACUAGGUUAGAAAGCAAACUGACAAUUUUUUUCUUAUGGGCUGCAUUUAUAUGUGCAUCGCGGUUCAUUGGAUGGCAAAAAGGCGGUUCUAGCAACGCUCGCUGCUUGGUUGAAUUGUUCGGACCAAUCAGCGCUGAUAAUUACCACUUUCACAAAAUACAUAAUUAUAGUGCAAAAAUAUAGCGAUUUCGAUCAGUACAACAGAAGUUAUUCGCAAUUGAAAACUGGGAAAAUAUCUCAGCAGAAACUUUGAAACGGAACCCCUAUAUUGAAACGUUAGAAGUAUUCUACUUCAAAAGCUUUCGAAAGUGACACGGAUAACCUGAAAUUUGAUAUUCUAUUUCAGAAAGAACCAUUGAUAUGGUGCACUUAAGAUACCUAAUCGAAUAUUGGGUAGCUAUAUUACGUCGCUGUUGUGCUAUCUUAUGACAAGCGCCAUUGUGCACAUUUCGAGAAAAACGAUUUUUAAAGUUUGAGAUUGAAUAUCAUGAAACUUAUAAAUGGUAGAAAAAAUUCAGAGAAGACAAUUGAUGCUUCUACCUAUUCUGUACUAAUCUCUCAAAUAUUACGAAGAUCGGUUGACUAUGUUGCGAGUUUUCACUAAAAAUAUAAACAAAAGUCGCACUCACACGUGUCAUAGGUGUGUAUUUAUGACAAAAUUUGUAUGGCGUGUCAUAACCGUGCAUGGAAAAUUUUCCAUAGAAAAAACCAUCAAUUAUUAACUUUUAUUCAUAUCUUUGGCUUCAUUUGGUCUAUAAACAAUCGGUUAGAUGUAUUUUGAAGGAAAUGAGUCAGGAUUUCUAGAAAAAAUAGUUAUUUUUAGUUGCAGUGUUGCCAAAUAGGCAAUAUUUCCAGUUUAAAGCUAAAACUGCGUUUUUCUCCCAAUACAUGUAUUUUUCUUUUGAAAAUUAUUAUGCCAUUGUGUUCCUACGACAAUUUUACACAUAAAAGCAACUAAAAUUUUAUUAUAACUUGAGCCAAUCCCAAGAUAUAAUGAUUUGAAGCAAAAAACUCACAAUUUCUAAUCACUUUUCUCGCUAUAUUUCAGAAACCAAGUAAAAUUUCAAAAUUCUGGAAACGCCAUCUUGUAGAGAUUCGUUAGACGAGUAAUGUGGCAUAUCUAACUCAGUUUACCCCAAAAUGGCGUUUGUCAUAAGAUAGCACAACAGCGACGAUUAGUCCCGCGUGCAUUUUUGAGGUAUGUGUUUCAUUCAGCGCUCACCAAUCGAAUGAGAAGCUUGUGGAUGCAUGGUUAGACGGUGCGAUAAGCAGACGGAAAUCAUAAUUUGCGUAGCCCAUAUAUUGUUGCGCAUAUUAUUUUUGAUUCUGAUUCCUGAUUCUACAAUUUCUAAGCUAAAUAAUGGCAACAAAAUCAAACGGGUAUCAGAUCCAAUCCAAAUUACAUUCGUUAAUACAGCAAUUUCAUAUCAACUUUUGAAUAGGGCUAAUAAGAUUUGUAAACAAACUUUUGUUUUGCUUAUUUCUCUUAAUUUGUUGUGAUUUCAACACAGAAGAUAUUUGAAAUUAAUUCUACCAAGGGUAAAGAUGUUGAUUCAUGAAAUUCAACUCGAUAGUGGAAUAAUAAGCGAAAUAAGUUUGUUUACAAAAAUCUCAUUAGCCCUUUUGAAGAAUUGAUAUUGAAUAUCACAGCUUGUAAUAUUUCAAAAUAAGUCUGAAAGCUUGGGGUUAUUUUCAAGGCGCAAGACACGAUUUGUUUAGCGUAAUAAUAAAAAAAACAGAUGGACAAUACAUGAGAACUUUCCUAGAAUUUUCAAAUAUAAUUCAUUGCCAUUUAAUGAAGAUCCAUGCGAAGUGAUCAAGGCACGUGUAAUCGACCUUCACGGAUUUGAACCAAAUUUGGAGGAAUUGUUCACCUAGGGCCAAUAUAUAAAAACCUAAGUUUUUGUGACAAUUGAACCACCCCUCGGGUCAUGUGAGCACCCCCCGUUUUGGCAAAUUGCCAAAGCUCUUGAUUUUCGUUUGAUCAUAUCUCCGGUUCUAUUUACUCUAGAAUCAAACCGCAAGAUGGCUUUUAAAGAAAAUUGUUCAAGGAAUCUAGAAAAAAUAUUAUUUUUUUCCUGGCAGUACUGCCAACUAUGCGAUUUUUCAGUUGAAUAUUAAGAGUUAAUUUUUCUCUCAAUACAUAUAUUUUAAUUUUGAAAAUUCGCAAGACUGAGUUGCUUGAACUAUGAAUUAUAAAUUUCGAAUUAUUUAUUUUGUUUUUACAGAUAUGUCAACAUUAUGAUGUUCAUAUUGCCCAACAUAUCCCUAUUGAUGUCGUUACGCUCUUUGUAAUCUUUCUGUCAGCGUAUGCAUACUCUGUUUACAGUAACCUGAAAUUUCUCGUACUUCACCUUUUCUAGCGGUACUCCAUUCUGUCCGCUCCCCUCUCUCAUUUCAUAACGCAACACAUUGAUCGCUCCUAUUGGUUCAGUAAUGCUUGUCGUGAUUCAAGAUAAUGUCUAAGUAACUAUAAAACGAAACACGUUGAUACCCGCGGUGAGACAGAAGCACACAGUGACAGCUCGUUUCAUACCUUUAACCUUCGACACCUAGUAGUUGUUAUACCAAUGAUAAAGUAGCACACAGUAGUCGUGAUUAUUCCUAACCGUAGCGUAUUACACAUAUAUUCGACAGGUUCUUUUCCAAAUCCCUUCCUCGGCGUUAACACUCACUGAAGCUGAGCCAGCAAAAAAGCAAUGCUUCCGGUGCACUAAUCGCCACUAGCACGCCUCAUAAAAACGUUGCGAAGGCCUGCCUCUUGGCGCAAACCACGAGGGAGUUAUCUCAGAAAACGUAAAAAAAACUCGCUAGUGUGAAUGACCCCUGCGAAACGCCCUAAAAAAGUAGGUACACGUUUAUGAAUCUGUAACCAUUUCUGUCACAAGGUAAGGGGUUCAAUUUAAUCAUUUAAACCCGAAACCAAAACAGCCAAGCAAAAACAGUAAAAUCAAGUCAUCACCUCUAUUUCGAUGUUGUCCGCGUGGGAAAGGGAAAGAAGCAGAGACUCCCGAAUAAGAGUGCAACAUGCCAGCAAGUAUGCACCCAGUUUGUUAUACUUUAGUUAAUUCCAUAUUCAUUGAUUGCGCGAAAAUGCAUCUCUGCUAUUCGGUCCGUCACAUCAAUUUUGAUAGCAUUUCUUAUAGCAAGCAAGCAACCAAAAAUCACAGUAAAACAAAUUGCAACUUUGCUAAACUGAUUCCUGGCAGGGUCCGUAACCGAUAUUGGGUCAUUUUUCGUUCGAUGGUGAAGGCUUUCGUUGUUCGUGUGUGUGUGUGUGUUUUGUCCUAUGAAAUUUAUCUUUUGCUGAAUGGAAUCACGUAUCAAAGUUUUAACUUAGUUUUUUUGUUUCUUCUAUUUCUGACACAUCUUUCGUACUGGUUUCUGUUUCACUUUUCCGGUUUUCUGCUAUGCUGUUUCCGUUUGUUUUUUACAUAAAGUCAAGAAAAAAAAACACUUGAGAUGAGUUCCGUUGUUAAACAUCUAGAGCAGCUCGUUUCCUAAGGUGUAGUGAUGUUGGGUCAAAUCUUUCGGCUUGGGUUGUCAAUAUUUAUCACCCGUACAUCAAUCAAUAGGGCAAUUAAUCGUAGCUGUAGGCUUGAAGAUUCAUUUAGUCACCCAUCCUCACGCCAUUUGUUGUUUUAUCAAAUUCUGUAGAACUAUAUUAUUAUUUCAUGAAACUAAAAAAAAAUCAUGGUUUCAACGCGUAAGUACACACAUCUUUUUUCACUCACACUUAUACUUUUAUUUUAUUCUUUUCGAUUAUUUCACUACUUUACAUCUACACAUCACUACAGGCAAGUAAAACGUUAUUGGUAAUAGUUAGUAAUUAUCUAUAAUUGUAAUAAUCAAAAUCGUUCGCCGAUGGUAGGAUGGUUGGUGCUUGUACAAAUCAUAUUGUUUGCUUCGUAUUACAUGAAUAAUGUUUGGAACUUAUGAUUCUAUGUAAUCCGUCCACAAUAGAGUAUUUUUGACACUUUCAAAUAACUAAUUAAUGCGUUGUCACAAAUGAGUGGAUUUAGGAAGGAAUCGGGGCCGAAACAAGGCAGGAUUGGAAUUCCAACAUGUUUUGGAAUCGUGACUGAGGUUGCUUUAUUGUGCCGUUUCUAUUUUUGAACUGGGUUAGAGUUGUAAUUUUUUUGAGGCUCUUUUUAUUUGAGUUUCAGGUCAAAAGAUCAAUUACGAAAAGUAAAAACCAAAAUGGACACAUAACAUAUUUCAGUUACACGUUUAACGCCAGUUUUAUUUUAUUACAUCAUUCUACAUUUUUGGAUGGAGUUUCAAGAUAAUCGAUGAAUAAUAUUUUGAGUAACGUCCUUUUGUAAUCUUAAUUGUCAAAGAAUUAACGUUCCAAGUGUUUCAGCAUCAUACAAGAAAAAGAAAUUGUCUCAUAAAAUAAAAAUAGCUCCUUUCUUUGUACUAUCAUUCUACAUCUCUGGCUGGAUUCUGAAAAAUAUCGUUGGAUUAAAACAAUUUAAAAAUCACAUUUUAAUGUGUGUAUUAGGAAUGCUCAUUGUUGAUAAUGGUGAUUUUGAAGUCGGCUACUACCAGACGUUUCGGCAUAUGGUGAUGAUCUUUCUCAAGGGAAAUUAUAUUUUUAUUAGAGAACAAAACCAUAACACUUCUCUAAUAAAAUUAUAGUUUACCUUGAAAAAGACCAUCACCAAAGGCUGAAACGUCGGCUAGUAUGAAGCUUUUAUUUUGAUUUUUAAAGACUGAAACAGCUGAUUUCUAAAUCACCAACGGUCCUGAUCUACACAACCUCAAAUUGUUGACAAUCUUGUAAUAAUUCGUCACUUUGACACAGCUGAUUGCCAUAGUUUAACGUAGCCGUGUAACAGUAAAGGCCGUGCACAUCAAAAUUUGGACACAGUUGUAAGAUUGUUACUGAGUCAAACUACUGUUAAACGCGUUUUUUGCUCUUAACCUAUACUUGUACAACCGUGAACAUUGUUUAGACAAAAGCUUUUAGUUUUCAAGAUGGCGUCGUCUAAGUCAACACACAGAAAAGUUAUACACCCAGGUUUUUUAUGCGGUUUUUUUCGCGGUUUUUUACAAGGUUUUUUUUACGCGGAUUUUCCAAUUAACGCGGUUUUUUUUCACGCGGAUUUUCCAAUUAACGCGGUUUUUUUUACGCGGAUUAUCCACUCAACGCGGUUUUUGCAAAAAUGCAAGUCCUUUUGAAUGCAAAAGACUUAAAAGAUUUUCGGAAAGAUGGAAGAGACGGAUCUGGAAGAUUCCUUAUGGCCCGCACCCCAACAAUAUGGGUAUUUUCGGAAUGGUCUUGAAGAGUAGGUUCCAGAAAUUGGUUUUUGACGCCAUUUUGAAAUCAAAGAUGGCGACUUCCGGUUCAGCGAAAUUCGCUAUAACCCAAUCAAUAUGGGUAUUUUCGGAAUGGUCUUGAAGAAUAUGUGCCAGACAUUGAUUUUGACGCCAUUUUGAAAUCAAAGAUGGCGACUUCCGGUUUUGCUAAAUUCGCUAUAACCCAAUCAAUAUGGGUGUUUUCGGAAUGGUCUUGAAGAGUAGGUGCCAGAAAUUGAUUUUUGACGCCAUAUUGAAAUCAAAGACGGCGACUUCCGGUUUAGCGAAAUUCGCUAUAACCCAAUCAAUAUGGGUAUUUUCGGAAUGGUCUUGAAGAGUAGGCGCCAGAAGUUGAUUUUUGACGCCUUUUUGAAAUUAAAGAUGGUAACUUCCGGUUUAGCAAAAUUCGCUAUAACCAAAUUAAUAUGGGUAUUUUCUGAAUGGUCUUGAAGAGUAGGUUCCAGAAAUUGAUUUUUGACGCCAUUUUGAAAUCAAAAAUGGCGACCUCCGGUUUAGCGAAAUUCGCUAUAACCCAAUCAAUAUGGGUAUUUUCGGAAUGGUCUUGAAGAGUAGGUGCUAAAAAUUUAUGUUUGACGUCAUUUUGAAAUCCAAGAUGGCGUCAUCUGGUUUAGCGGAAAUUCCCUACAACCCAUGCAAUAUGGGAAUUGUCGGAAUGGUCUUGAAGAGUAGGUACCAGAAAUUUAUGUUUAUGUAAUGCAUUGUAGUUGAUAGAAUAAAUAUCAUUGAUGGGUGGAACGGAUACAAGUAAUUCUUAGUGGCUUCCUUGGGGGAUAUCUUCAAUAGUUUCGGUACAUGAUUUGUCAAAUUCUGUGCCACUCUAUACGCAUGUUAGUAAGCGCAUUUCCAAAAGUCGAAAUUCCAUUUUCCACAUCGUGCAUCUUAUACAUUUAGCCAAAAUACGUGACCCCCUCCCCCUUUUACCUUCCGACUAGAGCUGCCUAUGAACCUGCUUUACGUUGACCACGAAGACGCUAUCGUCCGCGUAGACGAAGACUACAACUGAGAACAAAGAAUUGCAGGAAAAGGGUGACGGCCAGAACUGACCCCUGAGGGACCUAAUUCGCUUUAGCUUUACGAAACGAAAAAGAAGCGAAGCAGAUUCAAACGCGAUGGAAGGUGAAAAUUUGUUUUUUUUUUCUAGAAAAACGAAAGAACACAAUAUUCCAUACCUUUUUAUUCUCCUGCCACAAAUGAACUAUCACUUCCGGGUUUGUAACCGCGUGGUCAUUUGUAUAUUCGCGUGUGUUAUUGAAUAAUCGCCAGGACCGUGAAUAUGAUGCUUUAUUUUCAAUGUGCUGUUCAGAUGCUAGAAAAUAGCAAUAGUUACCGGUUAUGUCGCCAAGGAACGUGUUAUCUCGUGGAUAUUAGCGUUAUUUUUGGAUUGGUUCGAGGACCGAGUGUAGAGACUUCCAGACGCGACCGAUUCAUGGUCGCGCGAACGCGGGCAUCUGUGGAUUUACGUUUGAGACGGCGUUUGUAAAUAUACAAGUGCUAAAACGUUCAUUUUAUCCCUGUGGUGUUAUCAGGUUUUCGAUAUCGCGAGAGUAGGUGAUCGCGAAGGAUUCAAGCGUUUGUAUGUUAACGUAUUUGUCGCGUGUGUUAGCGCUUACGUUACUUCGCAUGUAUACAUUCGAUUUUGUAACCAUGUGGCCAUUCACAUAUUCGCGUGUGUUGUUGAAUGAUCGCGAUACCUAAUCUUCAGUGUGCAGUUCAGAUUCUAGAAAAGAGUGGGUUAACCCAUAUUACUAGUUUUUUAUUUUUUUUUAUUUAUUUAUUCCUUCGUCUUUGGCUAAUUCUGCCAUACAGACUGUUACUUAAAAUUAUUCAACAUGUACAGUAACAAUAUAUAACAACACAGACAAUCGAGCAACAAGCAAAGGUAACAAUACAGUAUUCCAAACAAAAUUUAAUUACAAAUUCAGCGCUGUGGGGGCUCCCAAAUGUCAAACUUUUCGUGAAAUUGUCGGAAACAGAGUCCUAAUGGCCAUGUUGAUGGAGAUAGUUCCCUGUCAUGUCGUCAUGGAAUGUGUUAUCUAGUAAAUAUGAGCGUUAUUUUUUUAUUGGUUCAACGGAAUGGAUGGACGUAUGUUGCUAGGGCCGAGGGUAGACACUUCAAUGAUACUUGGUGCUAGACGGUACACUUUAUCACCGGGGUAUUAUUAUGCUUGGAAGACAGCGAGCGUAGGUAUGCGUGGAUGAUCGCGAUCAUCUGGUACAGUGUCAUCUUCGGAAGUCUUGGCAUGGGACACUUCAAGUUUAAAAGAGUCCCAAACCAGGGCUAAUUGUCAAGCCCGGGGCAUCUCUAGAGAGAACUUUUCCCUAAACCCAUUUUGUACGUUAUUUCGACCAUGCCGUACCUAAAGCAUUUAUGUGGUAUAAUCACUGUAAUACUGCUUUAGUGGAAAAGCCGCCGUUCCACGUCAAGGUAAAAUGUAAUGCUGAAGGAUUAUGGUGUCCAAUAACGGAUUCUAAAAGAGUAAAUUCUGCAAGACACCAAUUUUAGUUUAUUAUAUUGUUUUCGAGGUUGGGAAAUUCAAAAAUCUUUUGAAAUUUACCGUGAGUUCCUGACAAUCUGUACUUCUGCUCAUUUGUGACAAACAUUAGUUCAGAACUAACGCACAACACACAAAACCACCCUGAACCGUUCGGCAGUUUCAUAGACUAACUCAUCCCACCAUUCAAUUAUAUAAGUAGUAAUAUAUAAGUAUGCCACCCUCAUCACCACCACCACCCCAGUACGCAGUACGUCUCCACGUCAAGACUCACCUCAACUACUUUCUUUUGCUUUAUUUUUCCUUCUUCAAGAUACUGUGAGCGCUCGUUCAUAAGCCCAAGCCCUUUCGCGAACCUAAUCUGACUCUGAACAAGUGCGCAAAAAAGUCGGACCUGCUCGAAACGACAAUUGAUAAGUACCUUCACAAAUUUUACUAUUUUUUUUUUUUCAUUACUCAAUCAAAUACUGGACAACAUCGUUCGCGUCAAAAUAUUUGCUACUCUUUUUCCCACCCGAACCCUAAGGCAGGUGACAGCCCGAAGCGUCCCAAACAGGCGCUGUCUCGGUAUCACAAAUUUGAUGUUGGAUAUUAGUUUAUCCCUUGCCCAAAACGGGGUUCGUUGAAGAUCAACCGGGGAGAUUGCUGGAAUCCCGAAAUCUUGAACCAACCCCGAAUCGGCAGGCGACACUUCAUCGAUGGGGGAAGAGUUGAAGGACGGUUGCUCUCUGUGGGUGAGUGAGCAGAGAAUAUUUUCAACUAGCGAAGAAGAUGGAGCCGGCUUCAAAUCUUCCCCCGGGAAGGUUACGUGUGUCACAUCAAUUUUGUUGAGUGAGAAGUCCCUUGUUGGUUCCAAGCCGCCGGAAUCGUGGGGGAACGAUCGGCCGGGCAAACCAGCAGGCGAAAUUUCGCUCCGCGGAAUUUCACAGCCCAAGUUUAGCGCAUACAUAAUUUAAUUGUGACGGAGAAGGUUUCUAUUUAUAUUCAUUUAAAUUUACUGUAUGUUAUUUUUCCCAUAUAUUUGAUACAUAUAUUACAAUAGGCAUAUAAUGUUAACCGAUCGAAGGGCUGUUGGACUUUUCAUCCCCUGCCUGGGGGCUUUCGGCGUCGAGUUCAGAACUGAUAUAAACCGCUACUGUAUUUCCAUAGGUUUAGUUCGAACAAUCAGUUGCCUGAGUAUUUUCUGUUUCAUUAGACAACUAAUUGCAUUCGCCCUUUGGGAAGGCACCGUUUUUAACGCAAUGGAUCGGGAGUUCCGAAACAUAUUCUGUCUAUAAUACAAGGAUAAGUCGGUGUUUGCUAUAGUGAGAGUGACUCAGGUCAAAUAUUACCUAUUAUUAGUAAAAAUAAUUGCCUAUGGAUUUUUUUAAGGAUACAUUUCUCAUUUUCAUCGCGGAAUGCUGUUUAUGUUCUCAUCAUUUAUGAUUGAAUUUUUUUCGUCACGUCAUCCACCACUGUUCGUUUUCCCAAUUUGCGUAAAUCGUAGAAUAAUUUCCCACCGGCACACGUGGUCGAUAUUAAGCUAGAGUGAACUUGUGUUGGCAUACAAUUGGUUCAUUCUGACUUAACGUUUACCAGUUUAUCUAUUAGACUCCCCACUAAAACCCUAUCCAUAAGCAAAAAUUUUUGCCCAUCAUUAACAGCAUAACAAAUUUAAAAAAAACUAAUCAUCUUCCGGUACGGGGGUUCUUCGUAGAGGGCAUUCGUUAACAUCGUUUUCUUUGCUACAUAUAUCCCUACUAGUAAUGGUUUGUAAUUAGCAACACGGCAAAAUAUUCAGUACAUAACAAAUUCACACAUCAGUAGGUGAUAUGGUUAAUCGUAAUCGUUAAUUACUAUUGCAAAUAAUCAAACUUGUGAAACUUGGCUCACACAGGUCUCAAGUUGAGCCCCACAAAAGCAAUGAAUGUUUUCCUUCCGGUCGUUUCCACGAGUUGGCAGGUUCGUACUACCAUAAUCAGAAAAUAAAUCAACAAUAUUAAUCUAAUUUCGCUGACAGGCAAACACUUCUGUAGUGUAACUUUAAUAAAAAUACAAAUUAGUCCUCGGAAUAAUGAUACAAGAAAAGAAUAAAAAAAAAGUUGGAUUAAA